This is a long non-coding RNA of Oncorhynchus tshawytscha (Chinook salmon), 1244 nucleotides long. The record is from Ensembl. NCBI's taxonomy places the organism in Eukaryota, Metazoa, Chordata, Actinopteri, Salmoniformes, Salmonidae.
GGAAGGUUGAUGAAUCUAGCAGAUCCUGGCUGGCUGGUGGUUCCGGCAGAUCCUGGCUGACUGGCGGUUCCGGCAGAUCCUGGCUGACUGGCGGUUCCGGCAGAUCCUGGCUGACUGGCGGAUCCUGGCUGAAUGGCGGGUCCUGGCUGACUGGCGGAUCUGGAAGAUCCUGGCGGAUCCUGGCUGACUGGCAGUUCUGGCGGAUCCUGGCUGACUGGCAGUUCUGGCGGAUUCUGGCUGACUGGCAGCCUGACGGCUCUGGCAGAUCCUGGCUGACUGGCGGACUGGCGGAUCCUGGCUGACUGGCGGAUCCUGGCUGACUGGCGGAUCCUGGCUGACUGGCGGAUCCUGGCUGACUGGCGGAUCCUGGCUGAAUGGCGGAUCCUGGCUGACUGGCGGAUCCUGGCUGACUGGCGGAUCCUGGCUGAAUGGCGGAUCUAACUGAUCCUGGCAGACUGGUGGCUCUGGCGGAUCCUGGCAGACUGGCGGCACUGGUGGCUCCUGGCUGACUGGCAGCUCCUGGCUGACUGGCAGCUCCUGGCUGACUGGCAGCUCCUGGCUGACUGGCGGCUCCUGGCUGACUGGCGGCGCUGGGCAGACUGGCGGCACUGGCGGCGCUGGGCAGACGGGUGGCUCAGGCGGCGCUGGGCAGACUGGCGACACUGGCGGCUCCUGGCUGACUGGCGGCGCUGGGCAGACUGGCGGCGCUGGGCAGACUGGCGGCGCUGGGCAGACGGGUAGCUCAGGCGGCGCUGGGCAGACUGGCGACACUGGCGGCUCCUGGCUGACUGGCGGCUCCUGGCUGACUGGCGGCGCUGGGCAGACUGGCGGCACUGGCGGCGCUGGGCAGACUGGCGGCACUGGGCAGACUGGCGGCGCUGGGCAGACUGGCGGCGCUGGGCAGACUGGCGGCGCUGGGCAGACUGGCGGCACUGGGCAGACUGGCGGCACUGGGCAGACUGGCGGCACUGGACAGGCGGGAGCGCCUGUGUUGAUGGGACGGAGAGACAGCCUGGUGCGGGGUGCCUGCACUGGUGGUACCGUGCUGGGGACACACACCUCAGGGCGAAUGCCUUGCAUACUACGCCAAAUCAACUGCUCUCUCUCUUCACACUCCCCCAAUUCUAUUAACACCUCCUCGAGUGUCUCCUCAUCUCCCAUCCGUUCACUCUCCUCCAUUCUGUCCAAUAACUCCUCGACCUUCUCAGACUCAGCCCUCAGCUUUGCCGAUAGCUCCGAUAACA